GAUGAACGCUGGCGGCGUGCUUAACACAUGCAAGUCGAACGAGCUUUAUUACUACGAUCCCUUCGGGGGUGACGGUUUUAAAGCGAGUGGCGGACGGGUGAGUAACGCGUGGAUAACCUGCCAUAUACUGGGGGAUAACAGCUGGAAACAGCUGCUAAUACCGCAUAAAACUGUAGAGUCGCAUGACUUUAUAGCCAAAGCUCCGGCGGUGUAUGAUGGAUCCGCGUCUGAUUAGGCAGUUGGCGGGGUAACGGCCCACAAACCGACGAUCAGUAGCCGACCUGAGAGGGUGACCGGCCACAUUGGGACUGAGACACGGUCCAGACUCCUACGGGAGGCAGCAGUGGGGAAUCUUCCGCAAUGGGCGAAAGCCUGACGGAGCAACGCCGCGUGAGUGAAGAAGGUCUUCGGAUCGUAAAGCUCUGUUGUCGGGACGAAUGUUGAGACCUAGAACAUAGGUUUCAAAUGACGGUACCUGACGAGGAAGCCACGGCUAACUACGUG
RNAcentral lists this ribosomal RNA (504 nucleotides) under uncultured bacterium. RNAcentral describes it as "bacterial SSU rRNA". It matches the Rfam family "Bacterial small subunit ribosomal RNA", at positions 28 to 507 of the family's 1533-position model. The record is from RNAcentral.